UCGGAUCUGGAAGCUCUCUCUUUCUCUCGUUUCCUUCAUCUCUCCCGCAUAACGCUUCUCUUGCUUAUUAUUCUUCUUCUUCCUCUGGUUUUCUCAAACGUCUCUUUUUUUGGUUUUUGUUGAUCACGGACGCUUUUCUUUGAAUGGAUUUUAGGUUUCAACAAACGAUUGCAAUUCGUCAAGCUACGAGCGGAAAAGAGUCGUCGUCAGCGGUUAGCAUGCCAUAUCUCCCGGAUGAUAUACUGCUGAAUUGUUUAGCCCGCGUCUCGAGAUUGUACUACCCAACUCUCUCCUUAGUUUCCAAAGUGUUUGCGAUGCAACGGAGCUGAUCUCUUGACUCGAGUAGCUAAACGGUUUUUAAACAGGGAAGAAUAGGCGUAUGGCUCAACAGGAGCUUAACGUUCGACUGUCCUCUGUUUUCUUUCCAAUCAGCCCACAACAGAUAACAAACCAUUUUGCAUAUCCUGCAACAGAAGAUGAGAAAUCGCAGCAAGACGAAUUGUUCAAGAUCUUAAACAUGAGUUUGGUGAUAAUUUCAAGAUUCUGGUUUAUAAAAAGUGAGCAGCACAAAGUAAAAGACUGGGGGAAAGAUUUGAUGUCUAUUUCUGGUAAGAUAGGAGAGGCGUUCAAAGAAGAGAGAGCACGUGAUUAGAGAAGUAAUCAAGAGGUUAAAGGAGCAUGGGCCGGAUUGGAGUUAAUGGAAACGAACAGAUUGAAUCUCUUCUUGGUAACAAAGUUAGGAUUAAGGAGGGAAGCUAGCAAGAUUGUUAUUCACAAUAAGUGGCAAGGACUGUUUAAAGUACUUCACUUAUCAUGCUGUCGGCCCUAACAAUCCUACUCCCGAGGAAAGUUACCUGAGGUUGUCCAGAAAGAUUCUAGAUUAAGCCCUCUAUAAGAAUUGCUAGUGGAGCUUCAUGGCGAGGAGGAUGACUGGAAAAAGGGAGUACACAAAGUUUCCGUUCCGAAAGAACUCGGUGAGAAGCAGAAAAGUUACAUUUCUUGUUUUUUUCGGAUCAGAGUCUGCAAGUUGUGUAAGAUGUAUGUUGGAUUCGGGUGUAAUAGAGAGAGAGAGGUUCCUCAUUAGUAUUUCUGGCGGUCAGAGUAGAGAUGCAAAGUUCAGUUUUGUAGACAUUCGGUAAGGAACCUUCUUCAGGAGCUCAGUGCAGGCUGUAGAACAACCAUUAGGAGAACUAUUGAAGUACAAAUCAGUAAGAGAAAUUAUGGAUGAAGACACAUUCACGUGAACAUGGAUCAAACCAAUGGUUUAGCUCUGUUUUUUUCAGCUUGUAUUCUGUUUCACUUUUGUACUUGGUUUUCAAACAAACUUUGUAAUAAGAUUUUAUUUUUAAUUCAAAAUAGAAUCUCUCUUGCAACU
Molecule: long non-coding RNA, 1375 nt
Organism: Arabidopsis lyrata subsp. lyrata
Lineage: Eukaryota; Viridiplantae; Streptophyta; Magnoliopsida; Brassicales; Brassicaceae
Exons: 4
Source: RefSeq, a predicted model, not a curated record